UGUAUAUAUAAUGCUAUAUUCAAGAAUCACCUUAAACCAACAAUCUCAUUUUAGCAAGAAUUCAAUCUGUCAUCUCAAAACAUGAAUGAAUCACAAAUGUUUGGCAGUGCUGAAAAGUUUCUGGGUAAACCAGGCUCUCUACCUUAUGCAGAAGUUUGUUCGGGGUUUGGUGUCAAAACCGGCCUAGAAAAAAAGCUUGAGGAGACCUUAUCAACCAUCAAAUCUGUGCUUUUAGACGCGGAAGAACAACGGGUCUGCAGUCACGAGUUAAGAGAUUGAUUACAGAAGCUAAAAGAGGCGUGUUAUGAUGCAGAUGACAUAUUGGAUGAGUUCGAGAUUGAAGCUGUACGAAAGAAACUUCCCUUAUCAUCAGAGCGUUGGAAAAAAGGUAUGGAAGUUUUUUUUCUUGCUCAAAUCCAGUAGUUUUCCGUUUUGGGAUGGGUCAUAGGAUGAAGAAAAAAAGAGAGAGGUUUAAUGAGAUUGCAGAAAUUAAGGGUAAAUUUAAUCUCAAAGGACGAAUUAACAACAGCGGUAUGUUGCUUAGGGAGAGGGAAAUGGCUCACUUCUUUGUGCUUGCUUCAGAUGUAAUUGGUAGAGAUGAGGAUAAAGAAAAUAUCAUAAAACUAUUAAUAGAGUCGAGUGAUAAUGGAACUGUCUCCGUCAGUCAUUCCUAUUGUGGGAAUAGGAGGUCCAGGAAAAACUGCAUUUACUAAACUUCAGAUGUAAUUCAGGGUUCUAUCGAUAAUCUACAUUUCUUGAGUAUUGAAAAUUCCCACAACUUCAUGUUGUGAGAAUCACUUAAAAUGCUUUGGUUUAGGGGUUGUUCGAACUUGUCAUUUCUUCCUGAUAUACGUAGUCUCACUUCUUUGAGAAAAUUAGCAAUUCAAAGAUGUCCUGCACUAAGUGAAAGAUGCAAACACGGAACAGGUGAAGAUUGGCCUAAGAUUGCUCAUGUCCUUGAGAUAUGGCUCGAUGGCAAGAUGAUCGUAUCUAACGAUUAUUAGGUAUUGAUGAUCUUUCUCUUUUUCUAGUUCAAUUUUUAAAAUUUUAUUCUAUAGCAGUAUGAUAGAUGCUAUGUAUAUUUUCUGUCCUUGGCUCUUGUUAAGUUUAUUGAAUGUAAAUUUUUCAUCGACUAUUAAUUUCUUUCUACUCUAAUUUUAAAUUUGACUAAUUAUUUCACUGAUGGUUGGUUAUAUGGUGCAAAUUCAAGUAUGAUUGCGCAGAACUAUAAUCAGUUGAACAUCUAUUUGUUCUUGUAUGAUGGGAUUUUAUUAGACAGUCGUAUUCAGAUGGAGCUUUAAAUAAAAGAGGAGCCGUGGGCAAGUUUUUGACAUCUGCUUUGUGUCGAUACAUUUGGAGAGUUUGAUUUAUACAGAAAACUCUUUGGUGCAUGGUUUCCAUUGCUUUGGCAGAGAGGACUCUAGAUUAUUGUGGACGCUGUCAGAGGAAAAUUGAUGUUUUUGGUCUGUAUGAUUAGGAUGGUGGAGUACUUUUUGAGAUCAUCUCUAAGGAAGGUGUAGUAAGGUAGACAACCAAGUGCCUUUAGUCUCAAAUGUUAUCAGCUGUAUAAUGGAUAAUGUCCAGUUACUGGAGCAGUGGAUAAAAGUUCUCUCUCUGAUUUGUUCUGUUGUUUGGAUUAGUUGUUAAGCAUGUUUUACUUGACUGCAUCCUUGUAGCUCUCUUGCGCAUGGAUGAGAUGAAAUAACUGAUAAAUCAAGAGUAAGCUAUGUGCUUUUCUUGCUUAUUUGAUCUAUAUAUGCCUUUCAUGCUAUGGACAGAGGGUAAAACAUUCAGAAUCUUGCUGACAAUACUGAGAAUUUGCAUAAAGAGUCCCGAGUAUACAGGGAAGCAGGGACACGAAUCCAACAGAAAAUGUGGUAUCAGAACAUGAAGAUAAAGUUGGUUGUUCUUGGGAUUUUGUUAGCCCUAGUUCUGAUUAUCUGGCUUUCAGUCUGCCAUGGAUUUAACUACACCUGAACAUCUUCAACAGCUUCUGUUCUGCAGGGGAAUUUUGGUCUCAUCCCCUCAAUGUUUUAAUUUUAUACCAUCAACAAAUUUAAUUU
Long non-coding RNA from Pistacia vera, 2063 nucleotides. RefSeq lists it as uncharacterized. Lineage: Eukaryota; Viridiplantae; Streptophyta; Magnoliopsida; Sapindales; Anacardiaceae. The record is from RefSeq and is a predicted model, not a curated record. The transcript has 4 exons.